RNAcentral lists this ribosomal RNA (500 nucleotides) under uncultured bacterium. RNAcentral describes it as "partial 16S ribosomal RNA". It matches the Rfam family "Bacterial small subunit ribosomal RNA", at positions 30 to 523 of the family's 1533-position model. The record is from RNAcentral.
AUUGAACGCUGGCGGCAUGCCUUACACAUGCAAGUCGAACGGCAGCACGGGAGCAAUCCUGGUGGCGAGUGGCGAACGGGUGAGUAAUAUAUCGGAACGUGCCCAGUCGUGGGGGAUAACGUAGCGAAAGCUACGCUAAUACCGCAUACGAUCUAUGGACUAAAGCGGGGGAGCGCAAGACAUCGCGCGAUUGGAGCGGCCGAUAUCAGAUUAAGUAGUUGGUGAGGUAAAGGCUCACCAAGCCGACGAUCUGUAGCUGGUCUGAGAGGACGACCAGCCACACUGGGACUGAGACACGGCCCAGACUCCUACGGGAGGCAGCAGUGGGGAAUUUUGGACAAUGGGCGCAAGCCUGAUCCAGCAAUGCCGCGUGCAGGAUGAAGGCCUUCGGGUUGUAAACUGCUUUUGUACGGAACGAAACGGCGAGCUCUAAUACAGUUUGCUAAUGACGGUACCGUAAGAAUAAGCACCGGCUAACUACGUGCCAGCCGCCGCCGUAA